This 656-nucleotide ribosomal RNA is filed under the name uncultured Desulfobacterium sp. RNAcentral's name for it is "bacterial SSU rRNA". It matches the Rfam family "Bacterial small subunit ribosomal RNA", at positions 9 to 638 of the family's 1533-position model. Lineage: Bacteria; Pseudomonadati; Thermodesulfobacteriota; Desulfobacteria; Desulfobacterales; Desulfobacteriaceae. The record is from RNAcentral.
GAGUUUGAUCCUGGCUCAGAAUGAACGCUGGCGGCGUGCUUAACACAUGCAAGUCGUACGAGAAAUCCUUGGCUUGCCAGGGAGAGUAAAGUGGCGCACGGGGGAGUAACGCGUGGGUAAUCUACCCUUGGAUUCAGGAUAACAUUUCGAAAGGGGUGCUAAUACUGGAUAACAUCCUGAUGGUUUCGGCCAUAAGGAUCAAAGAUAGCCUCUACAUGUAAGCUAUUGUACAGGGAUGAGCCCGCGUACCAUUAGCUAGUUGGUGGGGUAAGAGCCUACCAAGGCAACGAUGGUUAGCUGGUCUGAGAGGAUGAUCAGCCACACUGGAACUGAAACACGGUCCAGACUCCUACGGGAGGCAGCAGUGAGGAAUUUUGCGCAAUGGGGGAAACCCUGACGCAGCAACGCCGCGUGAGUGAAGAAGGCUUUCGGGUCGUAAAGCUCUGUCAAGAGGGAAGAAAGUGGAAGGUGGUAAUACUGUUUUCUAUUGACGGUACCUCUGAAGGAAGCACCGGCUAACUCCGUGCCAGCAGCCGCGGUAAUACGGGGGGUGCAAGCGUUAUUCGGAUUUAUUGGGCGUAAAGAGCGCGUAGCGGUUUAUCAAGUCAGAUGUGAAAGCCCUGGGCUCAACCUGGGAAGUGCAUUUGAAACUAGUA